GAUGAACGCUGGCGGCGUGCCUAAUACAUGCCAGUCGAGCGAACAGACGAGGAGCUUGCUCCUCUGACGUUAGCGGCGGACGGGUGAGUAACACGUGGAUAACCUACCUAUAAGACUGGGAUAACUUCGGGAAACCGGAGCUACUACCGGAUAACAUGUUGAACCGCAUGGUUCAACAGUGAAAGACGGUCUUGCUGUCACUUAUAGAUGGAUCCGCGCCGCAUUAGCUAGUUGGUAAGGUAACGGCUUACCAAGGCAACGAUGCGUAGCCGACCUGUGAGGGUGAUCGGCCACACGGGAAGUGAGACACGGUCCAGACUCCUACGGGAGGCAGCAGUAGGGAAUCUUCCGCAAUGGGCGAAAGCCUGACGGAGCAACGCCGCGUGAGUGAUGAAGGUCUUCGGAUCGGAAAACUCUGUUAUUAGGGAAGAACAAAUGUGUAAGUAACUAUGCACGUCUUGACGGUACCUAAUCAGAAAGCCACGGCUAACUACGUG
This 497-nucleotide ribosomal RNA is filed under the name uncultured bacterium. RNAcentral describes it as "partial 16S ribosomal RNA". It matches the Rfam family "Bacterial small subunit ribosomal RNA", at positions 28 to 507 of the family's 1533-position model. The record is from RNAcentral.